ACCUAGUAGUACGGAAUAAUUGUUGGAAACGGCAACUAAUACCGUAUACGCCCUACGGGGGAAAAAUUUAUUGCUAUUAGAUGAGCCUAUAUUAGAUUAGCUAGUUGGUGGAGUAAUAGCCUACCAAGGCAAUGAUCUAUAGCUGAUCUGAGAGGAUGAUCAGCCACACUGGAACUGAGAUACGGUCCAGACUCCUACGGGAGGCAGCAGUGGGGAAUAUUGGACAAUGGGCGAAAGCCUGAUCCAGCCAUGCCGCAUGAGUGAAGAAGGCCUUUGGGUUGUAAAGCUCUUUUAGUGAGGAAGAUAAUGACGGUACUCACAGAAGAAGUCCUGGCUAACUCCGUGCCAGCAGCCGCGGUAAUACGGAGAGGGCUAGCGUUAUUCGGAAUUAUUGGGCGUAAAGGGCGCGUAGGCUGGUUAGUAAGUUAAAAGUGAAAUCCCGAGGCUUAACCUUGGAACUGCUUUUAAAACUGCUAACCUAGAGAUUGAAAGAGGAUAGAGGAAUUCCUAGUGUAGAGGUGGAAUUCGUAAAUAUUAGGAGGAACACCAGUGGCGAAGGCGUCUGUCUGGUUCAAAUCUGACGCUGAGGCGCGAAGGCGUGGGGAGCAAACAGGAUUAGAUACCCUGGUAGUCCACGCUGUAAACGAUGAAUGUUAAAUAUGGGAAGUUUACUUUCUGUAUUACAGCUAACGCGUUAAACAUUCCGCCUGGGGACUACGGUCGCAAGAUUAAAACUCAAAGGAAUUGACGGGGACCCGCACAAGCGGUGGAGCAUGUGGUUUAAUUCGAUGCAACGCGAAAAACCUUACCACU
Molecule: ribosomal RNA, 813 nt
Filed under: Wolbachia endosymbiont of Circoniscus bezzii
Lineage: Bacteria; Pseudomonadati; Pseudomonadota; Alphaproteobacteria; Rickettsiales; Anaplasmataceae
Description: bacterial SSU rRNA
Rfam family: Bacterial small subunit ribosomal RNA
Source: RNAcentral